UACGAAUGGGGCUAGCGUUGCUCGGAAUCACUGGGCGUAAAGCGCACGUAGGCGGCUUUUUAAGUCAGGGGUGAAAUCCUGGAGCUCAACUCCAGAACUGCCUUUGAUACUGAGAAGCUUGAGUCCGGGAGAGGUGAGUGGAACUGCGAGUGUAGAGGUGAAAUUCGUAGAUAUUCGCAAGAACACCAGUGGCGAAGGCGGCUCACUGGCCCGAUACUGACGCUGAGGUGCGAAAGCGUGGGGAGCAAACAGG
RNAcentral lists this ribosomal RNA (253 nucleotides) under uncultured bacterium. RNAcentral's name for it is "partial 16S ribosomal RNA". It matches the Rfam family "Bacterial small subunit ribosomal RNA", at positions 524 to 776 of the family's 1533-position model. The record is from RNAcentral.